Molecule: ribosomal RNA, 825 nt
Filed under: uncultured eukaryote
Lineage: Eukaryota
Description: SSU rRNA
Rfam family: Eukaryotic small subunit ribosomal RNA
Source: RNAcentral
CCGGAGAGGGAGCCCGAGAAACGGCUACCACAUCUAAGGAAGGCAGCAGGCGCGCAAAUUACCCAAUCCUGACAUAGGGAGGUAGUGACAAGAAAUAACAAUGCAUAAACCUUAGGGUUCCUGUUUUUGGAAUGAGUAGAAUUUAAAUUCCUUUACAACGAUCAAUUGGAGGGCAAGUCUGGUGCCAGCAGCCGCGGUAAUUCCAGCUCCAAUAGCGUAUAUUAAAGUUGUUGCGGUUAAAAAGCUCGUAGUUGGAUUUCUGCUUCGGACAAGUGGUCCACAUUCUCGUGUGAGUAUCUACUUUGGCCUUGGCAUCUUCUUGGAGAACGUACUGCUUCAUUGUGGUGCGGGAAUCCAGGACUUUUACUUUGAGGAAAUUAGAGUGUUCGCAGCAGGCAAUCGCCGUGAAUACAUUAGCAUGGAAUAAUAUUAUAGAUUCUCGAAUCUUCUUUGUUGGUUCUAGGUUUGAGAAGAUGAUGAAUAGGAUCAGCUGGGGGCAUCCGUAUUAACGCGUCAGAGGUGGAAUUCUUGGAUUGCGUUACGACGAACUACUGCGAAAGCAUUUGCCAAGGAUGUUUUCAUUGAUCAAGAACGAAAGUCAGGGGAUCGAAGACGAUUAGAUACCGUCGUAGUCUUGACCAUAAACUAUGCCUACUAGAGAUUGGAGGUUGUUCUUUUAUUGACCCCUUCAGCACCUUAUGAGAAAUCAAAGUCUUUGGGUUCCGGGGGGAGUAUGGUCGCAAGAUUGAAACUUAAAGGAAUUGACGGAAGGGCACCACCAGGAGUGGAGCCUGCGGCUUAAUUUGACUCAACACGGAAGGGCGA